GGUAGAUAGGCUAGAAGUGGAAGAAUAGUGAUAUUUGUAGCGGACUAGUACUAAUAGCUCGAGGACUUUACCUAG
Molecule: ribosomal RNA, 75 nt
Filed under: Lactococcus sp.
Lineage: Bacteria; Bacillati; Bacillota; Bacilli; Lactobacillales; Streptococcaceae
Description: partial 23S ribosomal RNA
Source: RNAcentral